ACUAACAAGGAUUCCCUCAGUAACGGCGAGUGAAGCGGGAAAAGCUCAGACUGAAAAUCUUCGGAGUUGUAGUCUGGAGACGCUAGAUCAGAUCAAUGCCUCGGCGAAAGUCUCUUGGAACAGAGCGCCAUGGAGGGUGAUAGCCCCGUUAGCUGAGGCCAAGGUUGUACGAUCGGCGUUCUAAGAGUCGAGUUGUUUGGGAUUGCAGCUCUAAGUGGGAGGUAAAUUCCUUCUAAAGCUAAAUAUAAAUGGGAGACCGAUAGCGAACAAGUACCGUGAGGGAAAGAUGCAAAGAACUUUGAAAAGAGAGUUAAACAGUACCUGAAAUUGCUGAAAUGGAACCGAUGGGGCGCAGUGUUGGCUUGUUGGUACUUGUACCCGUGAGCAAGUCAGGCUUCCUUCGCGGCGCGGGAAAGGCUUCUGGACCUGUAUGGGCCGGUUUUGCUGUCGUGCGGCGGAGGGACUCUGACGAAAUGCGCCUUAUCAUCCCGUCUUGAAACACGGACCAAGGAGUCUAACAUAUGUGCGAGUGCUCGGGGUAGAACUCCCAGCGCGGAAUUAACGUAAAGGUGGGCUUGCUCACUGAGGUAGGAUCUGAAAAGUGCACUAUCGACCGACCAUGAUCCCUCGGGAGAAAGGUUUGAGUGUGAGCAUAUAUGUUGGGACCCGAAAGAUGGUGAACUAUGCCUGAGUAGGGCGAAGCCAGGGGAAACUCUGGUGGAGGUCCGCAGCGAUUCUAACGUGCAAAUUGAUCGUCGAACUUGGGUAUAGGGGCGAAAGACUAAUCGAACCAUCUAGUAGCUGGUUCCUCCCGAAAUUUCCCUUAGGAUAGCUGCAACCGAACAGUUUUAUCAGGUAAAGCUAAUGAUUAGAGGCAUCAGGGGUGGAACGUCCUUGACCUAUUCUCAAACUUUAAAUGGGUAAGAGCCCUGGGUUGCUUAAUUGAACCCGGCGGUCGAAUGACGGUUGCUAGUGGGCCAAUCUGGGUAAGCUAGAUUGGCGAUGCGGGAUGAACCGAACGUUUAGUUAAAGUGCCAAAGUAUCCGCUAACCUAGAUCCCACAAAAGGUGUUGGUUCAUUAAGACAGCAGGACGGUGGCCAUGGAAGU
This 1108-nucleotide ribosomal RNA is filed under the name Spumella sp. LG-2014g. Its description in RNAcentral is "eukaryotic LSU rRNA". It matches the Rfam family "Eukaryotic large subunit ribosomal RNA", at positions 64 to 1261 of the family's 3401-position model. The record is from RNAcentral. Lineage: Eukaryota; Chrysophyceae; Chromulinales; Chromulinaceae.